GACGAACGCUGGCGGCGUGCUUAACACAUGCAAGUCGAACGGAAAGGCCCUGCUUUUGUGGGGUGCUCGAGUGGCGAACGGGUGAGUAACACGUGAGUAACCUGCCCUUGACUUUGGGAUAACUUCAGGAAACUGGGGCUAAUACCGGAUAGGAGCUCCUGCUGCAUGGUGGGGGUUGGAAAGUUUCGGCGGUUGGGGAUGGACUCGCGGCUUAUCAGCUUGUUGGUGGGGUAGUGGCUUACCAAGGCUUUGACGGGUAGCCGGCCUGAGAGGGUGACCGGCCACCUUGGGGCUGGGGUACGGGCCAGACUCCUAAGGGGGGCAGCAGUGGGGAAUAUUGCACAAUGGGCGGAAGCCUGAUGCAGCAACGCCGCGUGCGGGAUGACGGCCUUCGGGUUGUAAACCGCUUUCGCCUGUGACGAAGCGUGAGUGACGGUAAUGGGUAAAGAAGCACCGGCUAACUACGUG
Molecule: ribosomal RNA, 468 nt
Filed under: uncultured bacterium
Lineage: Bacteria
Description: partial 16S ribosomal RNA
Rfam family: Bacterial small subunit ribosomal RNA
Source: RNAcentral